GGGGAAUAUUGCACAAUGGGCGAAAGCCUGAUGCAGCAACGCCGCGUGAGUGAUGAAGGUCUUCGGAUUGUAAAGCUCUGUCUUUUGGACGAUAAUGACGGUACCAAAGGAGGAAGCCACGGCUAACUACGUGCCAGCAGCCGCGGUAAUACGUAGGUGGCGAGCGUUGUCCGGAUUUACUGGGCGUAAAGGGUGCGUAGGCGGAUGUUUAAGUGAGAUGUGAAAUACCCGGGCUUAACUUGGGUGCUGCAUUUCAAACUGGAUAUCUAGAGUGCAGGAGAGGAGAAUGGAAUUCCUAGUGUAGCGGUGAAAUGCGUAGAGAUUAGGAAGAACACCAGUGGCGAAGGCGAUUCUCUGGACUGUAACUGACGCUGAGGCACGAAAGCGUGGGUAGCAAACAGGAUUAGAUACCCUGGUAGUCCACGCCGUAAACGAUGAGUACUAGGUGUAGGAGGUAUCGACCCCUUCUGUGCCGCAGUAAACACAUU
Molecule: ribosomal RNA, 488 nt
Filed under: uncultured bacterium
Lineage: Bacteria
Description: partial 16S ribosomal RNA
Rfam family: Bacterial small subunit ribosomal RNA
Source: RNAcentral